RNAcentral lists this ribosomal RNA (254 nucleotides) under uncultured bacterium. RNAcentral describes it as "partial 16S ribosomal RNA". It matches the Rfam family "Bacterial small subunit ribosomal RNA", at positions 524 to 776 of the family's 1533-position model. The record is from RNAcentral.
UACGGAGGGGGCGAGCGUUGUCCGAAGUUACUGGGCGUAAAGCGCGCGUAGGCGGGAAAUUAAGUGAGAAGUGAAAGGCUGGGGCUUAACCCCAUGCAGUGCUCCUCAUACUGGUUUUCUUGAGGGUGGUAGAGAGAAGUGGAAUGGCUGGUGUAGCGGUGAAAUGCGUAGAUAUCAGUCGGAACACCAGUGGCGAAGGCGGCUUCUUGGGCCAUUACUGACGCUGAGGCGCGAAAGCCAGGGGAGCGAACGGG